GGCCUGGCCGCGGCCUGCGGGUGUAGGCGCCUCGGCGGCCACCGCGUCCCCAGGGGGCCUCGCGGACGGGGGCGCGGGGCUGCGGGGAGGAGGCGGGCGGGCCCCUCGGGCGACACCGCGGGGCGGGCGGCGGGAAGCCCGGACUCAGCGGUUUCCUGGGCAACCGGCCUCCUCCGGCGCGGCCCGCGCGGCUCCAGGUGGCGGGAGGCGGCGGUUGGCGGGAAGGGCCGCGCGGGCCCGGGGGCGGCGCCUCAGGUAGCAGCGCCAGGUGGCGCCCGUGGGCGGCGGGGCUCCCGGGGAGGCGCCUGCUCCCGCCCACGCCGGGCCCGGCCUUCGCGAGCUUCCUUCUGGAUUCCAGCGCGAAGCCGCCGCGGAAACUCCCCGGGCGGGCAUCGGAGCUCUGGGGCGGGGCGGCCGGGCUCAGAGGGCGGGCGGGAGCAGGCGGGCGGCGAGGGCGGGCAGCAGCAGCGGGAGCAGGGGCGCCCCGGGCGCCGGGGCCGCUGGGGACGAACGCGGCGGGUCAGGCCCCGAAGCCCGGGCCGCGGUGGCCGCCUCAGGCGCCCGCUCUGGGGUGGGGGUGGGGGCAUCUUUCGGGACCGAACUCGCCGCAGCCUCCCUCUUUGUGCUCCUUUCCCCUGCUGCCCUUCCAGAUGCGCUCUUUCCAGAAAGGCAGCACACGCAUGUCUCUGCCGUGGCCCCAGAUCCUCCCCGCGCCGCCGUUUUGAGCGUUCACACUCAUUACCCAGGUCCGUCUGGGAGACCCGCCGGGCUCCCGCCCUCCCGGCCCGCAGCCUCCUGGCCAAAAUCCUCCCGGGACACCCCACCUGGACUGCUGCGAACGGGCCUCCACCCGCCUCCCCGGACCCGCAGCGCCCCCCGCUCCCUCAGGGUUCUGGGGUGAAGGGGUCUGAAUAGCACCAGGGGAGGCGGCAGGGCGGGCCUGUCCUACCUGCGCCCGAGCACUGCUGAGACGACAUCCCUUCCAGCGCCGCCACGUAGUCCAGCCCCAGCCAGCCGCGGUAGGUGGUUUUCUCUCCGACAGGCACCGCCCGGACGGUGGCAUCCUUGAAAAGCAGGUCUUGGCCAUGAUAGUUGGAGGAGUCGAACAUUUUGAACCCGUUCUUAUUGUGGUCGUCUCCAAACAGGUCCUGGAAGCACCGCAGGCAGACGACCUGCUCCUCACUGGGCUCAGGCAGGGUCACCCGCCCAGUGCCGCUAGCUGCAAAUUGCUUUACAUACAGUGACCCAAAGAGCAAGUCAUUUCAGGGCCCCACCACUCUGAUUGGAAGUCAUAAGCUUGACAACUGAUUGGCCUCUGUCACCCAAGCGGGUGUGGGGACACUAGGCCCGCAGGUGCCACUGGAAGAGGCGUUCAGAAGCACUGCGGUGCUCCAGCUCCUGGAUGCAGGUCUGAGGCCUGAGAUGUCCAGGAAGAAAGACCCAGAAAUGAGGGAUGGUGUGGGUGGGAUUCCUGAGCGUUCUGCUAGGCCUGCUGAGCACUUCUUGGCCUUUUCCAUAAGGCUUUCUCACUCUGUCUUACAGAUAUCUCCCCACAAACCUAAACAAUUUCGAGAGGGACUUGUGUUCUGCAACCAGUCACAGAAUAUCAGGUGAGCUGGGCGUGUCUUCACUGACCCACCCGCCCAGGGAUGCUGCACUCCUCUCCACCCUGCUCAGAAUCACUAGAAUGACCGUUCUGUGGCUACAGCCCUAAAAGAGCUACUAAAAAGACCAGAAGUAGUAUGAGAACUUAUGAAUACGAAUAUAAAUAAAGGACAUCUGGAGAACAUGCAUGAAUGUCUAUGUAAAGUGUUAAGUACUGAUCAAGGAGGAACGAAGGAGUCAGGUGGCUCUCAGUCUUUUUGGAGGGACUCGCAGAUCCUCCUGAAGAUCUGAUGAAAGCUGUCAGCCUUCUCCCCAGAAAAAUGCACAUCCACCCAGGAUUCUUCUCCCACAUUACUUCAGAGGACUUAGCAACCCCCUAGGGAAGCCCAGGGACCCAGAGUAAAGCACUCCUGGGAUAGAGGGGUUCUGUGGGGAAGAUGACAGGAAGGAACAUGCGUCAGUUCACAAUGUCAAAGUUUAGGAACAGGCCUGGCGAGCCAGCCAGCUCUGCAGUUCUGUGGUGCUGGUGGGUGUGGAGAAGGCAAUUUCAGCAUAAGUCGGGGGAGGGGGAGUGGUUAGAAACCAGUGGCUCCAUUGUGAGACAACCUGGGUUUAAAUUCUAGGUAUAUUUUGAAAGCACAACCAAUGGGAUCUGCUGAUAGAUUGGCUGUAGAGCACGAGAGGAAGACCGGAGUCAAAAAUGACUCCCGAGGAAAUGGAAAAGCUAAAGUUGCUCUUAAUUGAAGUGGGGAAGACUGAAGGAGGGACGGGGGUCCAACUUUGGACUUGAUCCAUUUGAGAUGACUGUUAGAAACACAAGUCAAAAUGUCAAGUAUGUAGUUAAAUAUGCAAGUUUGGGACUGAUGUCUGAAGAUGUAAAUUUAGAAGCCAUCUGUAUAUAGAUGGUAUUUGAUGACAUGGGAUUGGAUGAGAUCAAGGGUAAGCUGUAGACAGGGAAGAGGGCUGAGAACUGAAUCCUAGGGCUAACAGGUCAGGGAGAUGGGGAGGAAAUCAGCAGAGAAGACUGAGGAGUGGCCAGAGAGUGAGAGGACAGCCAGGCAGGGCUGAGGACCUGGGCAUCUGCAGGGGAAGGUGUUUCCAGGAGGAGGGAGAGCUGUGGCCAGUGCCACUGAGAGGUCAAGUAAAAUGAAGACUGAGAAAUGGCCACUGGGUUUAGCAACAUGGGUCACUGUGACCUUGACAAGAACAGCUUCAGGGCCCUGGUGGGAGCCUGUCUGGGGUAGUCUCCAUCCUUAAGAGGGGCCAGAGGAGAGGACUUGCUAACUCAGUCUCCAUCCUUAAGAGAGGCCAGAGGAGAGGACUUGUUAACUCCAGAGCAGACCACUCUUUGGAGGAGUUUUGCUUCGAAAGGGAGC
Molecule: long non-coding RNA, 2981 nt
Filed under: Homo sapiens (human)
Lineage: Eukaryota; Metazoa; Chordata; Mammalia; Primates; Hominidae
Description: HSALNT0317615
Source: RNAcentral